Molecule: non-coding RNA, 73 nt
Organism: Salmo salar (Atlantic salmon)
Lineage: Eukaryota; Metazoa; Chordata; Actinopteri; Salmoniformes; Salmonidae
Source: Rfam
UCCCGUGUGGCUCAAUUGGUAGAGCAUGGUGUUUGCAACACCAGGGUUGUGGGUUCGAUUCCCACGGGGGGAC